UGGGGAAUCUUCCGCAAUGGACGAAAGUCUGACGGAGCAACGCCGCGUGAGUGAAGAAGGUUUUCGGAUCGUAAAACUCUGUCUUUUGGGGCGAACGUGAGUAUGGUGAACAAUCAUAGUCAGUGACGGUACCAAAGGAGGAAGCCACGGCUAACUACGUGCCAGCAGCCGCGGUAAUACGUAGGUGGCAAGCGUUGUCCGGAAUUAUUGGGCGUAAAGAGCGCGUAGGCGGGAUAGUCAGUCUGUUGUAAAGUGCGGGGCUCAACCCCGUGAUGGCAAUGGAACAGCUAUUCUUGAGUGCAGGAGAGGAAAGUGGAAUUCCCAGUGUAGCGGUGAAAUGCGUAGAUAUUGGGAGGAACACCAGUGGCGAAGGCGACUUUCUGGACUGUGUCUGACGCUGAGGCGCGAAAGCCAGGGGAGCGAACGGGAUUAGAUACCCCGGUAGUCCUGGCCGUAAACGAUGGGUACUAGGUGUGGGAGGUAUCGACCCCUUCCGUGCCGGAGUUAACGCAAUAAGUACCCCGCCUGGGGAGUACGGUCGCAAGACUGAAACUCAAAUGAAUUGACGGGGUCAUAGCUGUUUCCUG
This 587-nucleotide ribosomal RNA is filed under the name uncultured bacterium. RNAcentral describes it as "partial 16S ribosomal RNA". It matches the Rfam family "Bacterial small subunit ribosomal RNA", at positions 355 to 1376 of the family's 1533-position model. The record is from RNAcentral.